RNAcentral lists this ribosomal RNA (425 nucleotides) under uncultured bacterium. Its description in RNAcentral is "partial 16S ribosomal RNA". It matches the Rfam family "Bacterial small subunit ribosomal RNA", at positions 354 to 796 of the family's 1533-position model. The record is from RNAcentral.
GUGGGGAAUCUUGCGCAAUGGGCGAAAGUCUGACGCAGCCAUGCCGCGUGAAUGAUGAAGGUCUUAGGAUUGUAAAAUUCUUUCACCGGGGACGAUAAUGACGGUACCCGGAGAAGAAGCCCCGGCUAACUUCGUGCCAGCAGCCGCGGUAAUACGAAGGGGGCUAGCGUUGCUCGGAAUUACUGGGCGUAAAGGGCGCGUAGGCGGACAGUUUAGUCAGAGGUGAAAGCCCAGGGCUCAACCUUGGAAUUGCCUUUGAUACUGGCUGUCUUGAGUACGGGAGAGGUGAGUGGAACUCCGAGUGUAGAGGUGAAAUUCGUAGAUAUUCGGAAGAACACCAGUGGCGAAGGCGACAUACUGGCUCAUUACUGACGCUGAGGCGCGAAAGCGUGGGGAGCAAACAGGAUUAGAUACCCCUGUAGUCC